Molecule: long non-coding RNA, 357 nt
Filed under: Mytilus galloprovincialis (Mediterranean mussel)
Lineage: Eukaryota; Metazoa; Mollusca; Bivalvia; Mytilida; Mytilidae
Source: RNAcentral
AUUGGUUAAUUGUUGUUUACUUUAUUUCCAGUAGCAAAUAUUUCAAUAAUGUUCAGAAAGUUAUGAACUUAUCUAUUUAUGAUUUAAAUGUAUGACAGGUUAAAAUAGCAAGUAAAGUCAUGUCGCAUAUUGCAUAAUGCUUACAUGAUGAAAUAUGACUUGACUAUAUAGUAAUUUUGUAUCUUUAUUUUUUAUUUGUCAGUACAGAACAAAAAAUUUGUAAAUAAAUGAAAAAAAUAAAUAAUAUAAAUGCAUUUUUAUACAUUUGAGUUGUUUUUCAUUUUAUGACAGAAAUCCAGAUAUAUAAGGUAAAUGCAAGAAUGCAACUUACUAAAUAAGAAAGAAAGGAAAUGGCAA